RNAcentral lists this ribosomal RNA (495 nucleotides) under uncultured bacterium. Its description in RNAcentral is "bacterial SSU rRNA". It matches the Rfam family "Bacterial small subunit ribosomal RNA", at positions 903 to 1397 of the family's 1533-position model. The record is from RNAcentral.
AAAGGAAUUGACGGGGGCCCGCACAAGCGGAGGAACAUGUGGUUUAAUUCGAUGAUACGCGAGGAACCUUACCCGGGCUUGAAAUGCAUCUGAUUUACGUGGAAACAUGUAUUCUAGCAAUAGCAGAUGUGUAGGUGCUGCAUGGUUGUCGUCAGCUCGUGCCGUGAGGUGUCGGCUUAAGUGCCAUAACGAGCGCAACCCUUAUCAUUAGUUGCCAUCGGGUCAUGCCGGGAACUCUAAUGAGACUGCCACCGUAAGGUGUGAGGAAGGUGGGGAUGACGUCAAAUCAGCACGGCCCUUAUGUCCGGGGCGACACACGUGUUACAAUGGGGGGUACAGAGGGUCGCUACCUGGCAACAGGAUGCUAAUCUCAUAAAUCCUCUCUCAGUUCGGAUCGGAGUCUGCAACUCGACUCCGUGAAGCUGGAUUCGCUAGUAAUCGCGCAUCAGCCAUGGCGCGGUGAAUACGUUCCCGGGCCUUGUACACACCGCCCGU